Molecule: ribosomal RNA, 734 nt
Filed under: uncultured bacterium
Lineage: Bacteria
Description: bacterial SSU rRNA
Rfam family: Bacterial small subunit ribosomal RNA
Source: RNAcentral
GGGAGCAAUCCCUGAGUACAGUGGCGCACGGGUGAGUAACACGUGACUAACCUACCUUCGAGUGGGGAAUAACCUGGGGAAACCCGGGCUAAUACCGCAUAACACUUACGAGUCAAAGCAGCAAUGUGCUUGAAGAGGGGGUCGCGGCCGAUUAGCUAGUUGGCGGGGUAAUGGCCCACCAAGGCUUUGAUCGGUAUCCGGCCUGAGAGGGCGCACGGACACACUGGAACUGAAACACGGUCCAGACUCCUACGGGAGGCAGCAGUGGGGAAUUUUGCGCAAUGGGGGAAACCCUGACGCAGCAACGCCGCGUGGAGGAUGAAGUCUCUUGGGACGUAAACUCCUUUCGAUCGGGACGAUAAUGACGGUACCGGAAGAAGAAGCCCCGGCUAACUUCGUGCCAGCAGCCGCGGUAAUACGAGGGGGGCAAGCGUUGUUCGGAAUUAUUGGGCGUAAAGGGCGCGUAGGCGGCUUGGUAAGUCUUGUGUGAAAUCUUCGGGCUCAACUCGAAGUCUGCAUAGGAAACUGCCGAGCUUGAGUAUGGGAGAGGUGAGUGGAAUUUCCGGUGUAGCGGUGAAAUGCGUAGAUAUCGGAAGGAACACCUGUGGCGAAAGCGGCUCACUAGACCAUAACUGACGCUGAGGCGCGAAAGCUAGGGGAGCAAACAGGAUUAGAUACCCUGGUAGUCCUAGCCCUNAACGAUGAUCGCUUGGUGUGGCGGGUUUUCCAAUCCC